This 74-nucleotide transfer RNA is filed under the name Candidatus Omnitrophota bacterium. RNAcentral's name for it is "Candidatus Omnitrophica bacterium tRNA-Arg". It matches the Rfam family "tRNA". Rfam says of the family: Transfer RNA (tRNA) molecules are approximately 80 nucleotides in length. Their secondary structure includes four short double-helical elements and three loops (D, anti-codon, and T loops). The record is from RNAcentral. Lineage: Bacteria; Pseudomonadati; Candidatus Omnitrophota.
GCGCCCAUAGUUCAAUUGGAUAGAACGCCAGGUUGCGGACCUGGAAGUUGCCUGUUCAAAUCGGGCUGGGCGCA